Molecule: ribosomal RNA, 562 nt
Filed under: Trichoderma asperellum
Lineage: Eukaryota; Fungi; Ascomycota; Sordariomycetes; Hypocreales; Hypocreaceae
Description: eukaryotic LSU rRNA
Rfam family: 5.8S ribosomal RNA (bases 184-337)
Source: RNAcentral
CCGAGUUUACAACUCCCAAACCCAAUGUGAACGUUACCAAACUGUUGCCUCGGCGGGGUCACGCCCCGGGUGCGUCGCAGCCCCGGAACCAGGCGCCCGCCGGAGGAACCAACCAAACUCUUUCUGUAGUCCCCUCGCGGACGUAUUUCUUACAGCUCUGAGCAAAAAUUCAAAAUGAAUCAAAACUUUCAACAACGGAUCUCUUGGUUCUGGCAUCGAUGAAGAACGCAGCGAAAUGCGAUAAGUAAUGUGAAUUGCAGAAUUCAGUGAAUCAUCGAAUCUUUGAACGCACAUUGCGCCCGCCAGUAUUCUGGCGGGCAUGCCUGUCCGAGCGUCAUUUCAACCCUCGAACCCCUCCGGGGGAUCGGCGUUGGGGAUCGGGACCCCUCACACGGGUGCCGGCCCCGAAAUACAGUGGCGGUCUCGCCGCAGCCUCUCCUGCGCAGUAGUUUGCACAACUCGCACCGGGAGCGCGGCGCGUCCACGUCCGUAAAACACCCAACUUUCUGAAAUGUUGACCUCGGAUCAGGUAGGAAUACCCGCUGAACUUAAGCAUAUCAUA